UACGUAGGUGGCAAGCGUUGUCCGGAAUUACUGGGCGUAAAGGGUGCGUAGGUGGUUUUUUAAGUCAGAAGUGAAAGGCUACGGCUCAACCGUAGUAAGCUUUUGAAACUAGAGAACUUGAGUGCAGGAGAGGAGAGUAGAAUUCCUAGUGUAGCGGUGAAAUGCGUAGAUAUUAGGAGGAAUACCAGUAGCGAAGGCGGCUCUCUGGACUGUAACUGACACUGAGGCACGAAAGCGUGGGGAGCAAACA
Molecule: ribosomal RNA, 250 nt
Filed under: uncultured bacterium
Lineage: Bacteria
Description: partial 16S ribosomal RNA
Rfam family: Bacterial small subunit ribosomal RNA
Source: RNAcentral